CUGAUUGGGCCGUUUCGUGAAGAGUACAAACAACUAAAAUGGUGCUUCUACAUACACCAACCAAAAUUUUAAUUUAAUUUCUAUUAAUCUAUUCAGAUUUCAGAGAGAGAAAAUUUAAAUGAGACUUUAUGAAGUAAAUCCAUCACCUAGACUUAAGACUGGAUAGAGUGGAUCAAAAGCCUUUUUACUACACCAGACAGAAACUGGAAUUAGUGUAGCGGCUGGAAAUAGAUAUGCAUACCCUAUAUCUUUGGAAACAUCUACAGAAAACCUUAAUUUUAUCAAACCCAACAAGAACACACGGCCAAUAUCAGAAUACAAUCGUCUUUAGUCUUUAUCUAAUUUUAUUCUCUUCUUCUCCUUCCAACUUUGCCUCUUUAUUUUCUCAAGCCUUGUUUGCACAAACAGCUAGACACAGAUGUACACAUUGUAAAAGGAAACAAAGCCACAACAGAAUAUCAUGCUCUGUUUCAAAUUGCUUCCAUUCCUUCUACCAACUUUGGUUUUCACUUUAUCAGCUUCCUUUUCCCUCUCUGAUGAUGGAGCUUCUGAGCAUCAUGUGGUUUCCUGGGGUACGAUUACGAAAAGGCAUGUCCUUGAGGCAACGAAUGCUGAACUUGUACAAAGCCCAUCUCUGAUAUUGGCUGCGAAGAGAACACACAGAAGAGACCCUCUUGAUGGUUUUAACUAUUACAGAGGAGGAUGGAAUAUCAGCGAAGAACACUAUUUCUUUUCUGUAGGAUUUACUGCUGCUCCUCUGUUCAUCAUGGCUGCUAUAUGGUUUCUGGGAUUUGUGCUGUGCUUCUUCUCCAUUUUCCUUUGCCAUUGCUGCUUCCAAAACCAUGAUUACGGCUACUCUCGAGUUGCGUAUUGGGUUUCCCUCGUCUUCAUCCAACUAUUCACCAUUGAUGCAGUCACUGGAUGCCUCGCUCUAUAUAUUGGACAAGGUAAUUUUAACAGAGUCACAAGAGGCACACUAGAUUUUGUUGAGAAUCAAGCAGACUUCAUUGUGGAGAAUCUGAGGGAUGUAUCUGAAAAUCUUGAAGCAGCUAAGCAUGUCGCAGUUGGUUGGACUUUUUUUCCUCCUAAUAUAUUGAAAGAAAUUGACAGAGUUGAGAAGAAGGUUAAUGCUUCUGCUAACAAUCUGGAGCAUGAAACAGAGGACAAUUCUAAUAAUAUACAAGAGGUCAUAGAUUCUGUAAGAGUGAUUCUCAUCGUACUUGCAGCUAUAUUGCUUCUCUUGGCUUUUUUUGGUUCUGGUUAAUUCUUUUGACCCUAUAAAUUGCACCAAUUUUUCAGUUCCACUCACAUUGUUCUUUUGCAAGUUGUUUUCUAAUUUCAAAAUAAAAAUAAAAUAAAAUAAUUUUACAUACAUGCAUACAUAUAUAUAUAUAUGAACAAUUCUGUGCUUUUGAAACUGUAAGUAAAUUUUCAGUAAAUGAUGACCAAACAAAUUUAUUUGUCCUUACUAUUUUUUUCUAUUUACUCGUUGCAGUGUUUUCAGUUUUGGGCAUGAAAUGUCUUGUGUAAGCAUUGGUGAUCAUAGGGUGGAUACUUGUAACAGUUACUUUUAUUUUAAGUGGCAUAUUUCUAGUACUUCAUAAUGUAGCAGCCGAUACUUGUGUUGCAAUGGAUGAAUGGGUUCAGAACCCAGUGGCUCAUACAGCUUUCGAUGAUAUCCUCCCGUGUAGACAAUUCAACAGCUCAAGAAACACUCAACAAAACCAAAGAGACAACCUUCCAAUUGGUCGGAAUUGUUAACCAGUUUAUAAACAAUUUGGCCAACCUCAACAAUGUUCCACCAAAUGCAGGCCCUAUUUACUACAAUCAGUCUGGUCCUUGGGUGCCUGUCCUGUGUAAUCCAUUUCAUCCCAAUAACACCCACAGGAACUGUGUUCAUGGUGAAGUGGAAUUUACCAAUUCAACAGAAGUAAAAAAAAUAAAAAAAACAAGACUCUAUUAUAUGUUAAUCUGUGUAGGUGAAAUUCCCCAAUUCUAAAAUUCCAGGCAUAUUUGUUUUGGCUGUGUUUUGUUGUUUUGCAGGAAUGGAGGAAGUAUGUGUGCCAGGUUUCAGCAACUAAUAUAUGCAUCACAGUGGGGCGUCUGACCCCAGUUUACUAUGAUCAAUUGAUAUCGACUGUGAAUGUGAGCUAUGCAUUGUAUCAUUAUGGACCCUUCCUGGUUGAGUUAGAAGAAUGCAGUUUUGUUAGACAAACACUGAAAGAAAUCAGUAAAAAUGAUUGUCCAGGGCUUAAACACCAUAGCAGAAGGAUUGUUGUGUGGUUGGCUAUGGCUUCUGCUGCACUCAUGAUUUCUUCCACCUUCUGGGUUCACCAUUCAGCACAGAAGCGAAAACAAAGUUAUAAUGGACAAUAUGCAUCUACAAUCUCCGAGUCUGCUCAAGAUCGUCCAGUAGGAGUCAGGAACAUGGAGUGAGUUUCGAAGGUCAUGUAUAGAUAUAAAUUCUGUGUGAGUAUUAUAUAAAUUUAGUAUUCUUAUAAUAGACUAUGUUACUAGUUGGAGAAGAUAGAUCUAAAAGGAGCUGCAACUGUUAUCAUAGGUUGACAACAGAAUCAGCUGGUUGGUCCACAGCAUUUUUUAUUUACAUAUUUAAUUAAUAGAAUGAUUGAACCAUACCAUAAA
This is an RNA transcript of Ziziphus jujuba (common jujube), 2643 nucleotides long. RefSeq lists it as uncharacterized. The transcript has 7 exons. The record is from RefSeq and is a predicted model, not a curated record. NCBI's taxonomy places the organism in Eukaryota, Viridiplantae, Streptophyta, Magnoliopsida, Rosales, Rhamnaceae.